AAUGAAGUGUCUGAUAAUAGAGUUAUUUUGAUAGAAUAAAAAAUGUAAAAUUUUACCUUCAUUA
RNAcentral lists this transfer RNA (64 nucleotides) under Ochthebius sp. IBE<ESP> AN104. RNAcentral's name for it is "tRNA-Ile". Lineage: Eukaryota; Metazoa; Arthropoda; Insecta; Coleoptera; Hydraenidae. The record is from RNAcentral.